Molecule: ribosomal RNA, 253 nt
Filed under: uncultured bacterium
Lineage: Bacteria
Description: partial 16S ribosomal RNA
Rfam family: Bacterial small subunit ribosomal RNA
Source: RNAcentral
UACGUAGGUGGCGAGCGUUGUCCGGAUUUAUUGAGUUUAAAGGGUGCGUAGGCGUCCCUGCAAGUUUUAGGUGAAAUGCUCAAGCUCAACUUGGGAGCUGCCUGAAAAACUGCCGGGAUUGAGUACAGAUGAGGUAGGCGGAAUUGACGGUGUAGCGGUGAAAUGCAUAGAUAUCGUCAGGAACACCGAUAGCAAAGGCAGCUUACUAAGUUGUAACUGACGCUGAGGCACGAAAGUGUGGGGAUCGAACAGG